GAUGAACGCUGGCGGCGCGCCUAACACAUGCAAGUCGAACGGAGCUGAGAGAAGCUUGCUUUUCUUAGCUUAGUGGCGAACGGGUGAGUAACGCGUGAGUAACCUGCCCUGGAGUGGGGGACAACAGUUGGAAACGACUGCUAAUACCGCAUAAGCCCACGAUCCGGCAUCGGAUUGAGGGAAAAGGAUUUAUUCGCUUCAGGAUGGACUCGCGUCCAAUUAGCUAGUUGGUGAGGUAACGGCCCACCAAGGCGACGAUUGGUAGCCGGACUGAGAGGUUGAACGGCCACAUUGGGACUGAGACACGGCCCAGACUCCUACGGGAGGCAGCAGUGGGGGAUAUUGCACAAUGGGGGAAACCCUGAUGCAGCGACGCCGCGUGGAGGAAGAAGGUUUUCGGAUUGUAAACUCCUGUCGUGAGGGACGAUAAUGACGGUACCUAACAAGAAAGCACCGGCUAACUACGUG
RNAcentral lists this ribosomal RNA (468 nucleotides) under uncultured bacterium. RNAcentral describes it as "partial 16S ribosomal RNA". It matches the Rfam family "Bacterial small subunit ribosomal RNA", at positions 28 to 507 of the family's 1533-position model. The record is from RNAcentral.